GUUGGUUAGCUCAGUCAGUAGAGUUCUCCAGUGGAAAUGGGGAAGUCCCUGGUUUGAUACCAGGACCAGACG
This 72-nucleotide transfer RNA is filed under the name Ixodes scapularis (black-legged tick). RNAcentral's name for it is "tRNA-Ser for anticodon GGA". Lineage: Eukaryota; Metazoa; Arthropoda; Arachnida; Ixodida; Ixodidae. The record is from RNAcentral.